UCGUCUCGAUAAAGAACACUUUCACGCGUCACGCUUGAUUUCACAUUGGCGCUACGUACAAAUACACGGAGUAAGUUAAACGGACUUUCGAGACGAAAAGAAAGGUGAAGGAACUUCUGGCUCGUACUGUACACCUGCUUAAUCUCGUUCCCCUGGCAUACAGAAGAGAAGGGGGUAAAGUGACAGUGUGCGAGGGAGGCAACGAAUGAGAUCCGUAGAAAAUUCUUUAUACCGACGCCGAUGGCCUCUGUGUGCUACGGUUCGCAGCGGGAAAAGAUCCCGGUGUCUGAUACAGAAGGACCGUGCAUAUCGUUUGCACGAAUAUCUCCGCCCCACUAAUGAAAAUGUCGAUGAACUUUUUCAAACAUUCAGGGUACCUCCGAUUCGAAACUCUUUCUUCAGGGAUUCUCGAUACCAACGACGGAAGCGGAAGCGCACCAUUCUCGCCUCGCUGCCUCUGAUAAGCCGAGCAUUCUGCUACCUACACGUACAUAAAUAUACUUUCCGUUCCAAAAUCACGAAAUUCAACGUGUUGCGUCGAAACACAACGUUAUCUUAAUAUCCUUUGGUUCUCAAU
Molecule: long non-coding RNA, 577 nt
Organism: Apis florea (little honeybee)
Lineage: Eukaryota; Metazoa; Arthropoda; Insecta; Hymenoptera; Apidae
Source: RefSeq, a predicted model, not a curated record